AUCAAAAACAUCACCUCUAGCAUAACUAGUAUUAGAGGCACUGCCUGCCCAGUGACAAUAGUUAAACGGCCGCGGUAUCUUGACCGUGCAAAGGUAGCAUAAUCACUUGUUCUCUAAAUAAGGACUUGUAUGAAUGGCCACACGAGGGUUUUACUGUCUCUUACUCUUAAUCAGUGAAAUUGACCUCCCCGUGAAGAGGCGGGGAUAACACAAUAAGACGAGAAGACCCUAUGGAGCUUUAAUUAAUCAACUCAAAAAGCAUAAAAUAAUACCACCAAGGGAUAACAAAGCUUUAUAUGAAUUGACAAUUUCGGUUGGGGUGACCUCGGAGUAUAAAAAAUCCUCCGAGUGAUUAAAACUUAGGCCUACCAGCCAAAGUAUAGUAUCACUUAUUGAUCCAAAACUUUGAUCAACGGAACAAGUUACCCUAGGGAUAACAGCGCAAUCCUAUUCUAGAGUCCAUAUCGACAAUAGGGUUUACGACCUCGAUGUUGGAUCAGGACAUCCUAAUGGUGCAGCAGCUAUUAAGGGUUCGUUUGUUCAACGAUUAAAGUCCUACGUGAUCUGAGU
Molecule: ribosomal RNA, 570 nt
Filed under: Lissodelphis borealis (northern right whale dolphin)
Lineage: Eukaryota; Metazoa; Chordata; Mammalia; Artiodactyla; Delphinidae
Description: partial 16S ribosomal RNA
Rfam family: Bacterial large subunit ribosomal RNA
Source: RNAcentral